RNAcentral lists this ribosomal RNA (436 nucleotides) under uncultured bacterium. RNAcentral's name for it is "partial 16S ribosomal RNA". It matches the Rfam family "Bacterial small subunit ribosomal RNA", at positions 341 to 792 of the family's 1533-position model. The record is from RNAcentral.
ACGGGAGGCAGCAGUGGGGAAUAUUGGGCAAUGGGCGGAAGCCUGACCCAGCAACGCCGCGUGAGGGAAGAAGGUUUUCGGAUUGUAAACCUCUGUCCUUGGUGACGAAAAGAUGACGGUAGCCAAGGAGGGAGCCCCGGCUAACUACGUGCCAGCAGCCGCGGUAAUACGUAGGGGGCGAGCGUUGUCCGGAAUGACUGGGCGUAAAGGGCGUGUAGGCGGCGCUGUAAGUCCGGAGUGAAAGUCCUGCUUUCAAGGUGGGAAUUGCUUUGGAGACUGCAGAGCUUGAGUACGGAAGAGGUAAGUGGAAUUCCCGGUGUAGCGGUGAAAUGCGUAGAGAUCGGGAGGAACACCAGUGGCGAAGGCGACUUACUGGACUGUAACUGACGUUGAGGCUCGAAAGCGUGGGGAGCAAACAGGAUUAGAUACCCUGGUA